AUUGAACGCUGGCGGCAUGCCUUACACAUGCAAGUCGAACGGCAGCACGGGUGCUUGCACCUGGUGGCGAGUGGCGAACGGGUGAGUAAUACAUCGGAACAUGUCCUGUAGUGGGGGAUAGCCCGGCGAAAGCCGGAUUAAUACCGCAUACGAUCUACGGAUGAAAGCGGGGGCCCUUCGGGCCUCGCGCUAUAGGGUUGGCCGAUGGCUGAUUAGCUAGUUGGUGGGGUAAAGGCCUACCAAGGCGACGAUCAGUAGCUGGUCUGAGAGGACGACCAGCCACACUGGGACUGAGACACGGCCCAGACUCCUACGGGAGGCAGCAGUGGGGAAUUUUGGACAAUGGGCGAAAGCCUGAUCCAGCAAUGCCGCGUGUGUGAAGAAGGCCUUCGGGUUGUAAAGCACUUUUGUCCGGAAAGAAAUACUUGGCCCUAAUACGGUCGGGGGAUGACGGUACCGGAAGAAUAAGCACCGGCUAACUACGUG
Molecule: ribosomal RNA, 486 nt
Filed under: uncultured bacterium
Lineage: Bacteria
Description: partial 16S ribosomal RNA
Rfam family: Bacterial small subunit ribosomal RNA
Source: RNAcentral